UUGACAGGCCUGAAGAUUGAAAUUCUCAAUUUAUCCACAGAAGAGGCACAAUACAGCACAGGCAACAAUCUUUCAAUACACCUCAACCCUGACCAGGAGUGACCAUACCUAAUGGUAGUAUGGAGGUUGAAUCUUCAUUUCCAUGAAGUCCUUGUCUUCU
RNAcentral lists this small RNA (160 nucleotides) under Crocodylus porosus (Australian saltwater crocodile). RNAcentral's name for it is "TUC338 (ENSCPRG00005005885.1)". Lineage: Eukaryota; Metazoa; Chordata; Crocodylia; Crocodylidae. The record is from RNAcentral.